This 1320-nucleotide ribosomal RNA is filed under the name uncultured Alphaproteobacteria bacterium. RNAcentral's name for it is "bacterial SSU rRNA". It matches the Rfam family "Bacterial small subunit ribosomal RNA", at positions 27 to 1394 of the family's 1533-position model. The record is from RNAcentral. Lineage: Bacteria; Pseudomonadati; Pseudomonadota; Alphaproteobacteria.
GAACGUACGCUGGCGGCACGCCUAACACAUGCAAGUCGAACGAAGUAGCAAUACUUAGUGGCAGACGGGUGAGUAACAUGUAGGUAUCUGCCCUUUGGCCUGGAAUAACACGAGGAAACUUGUGCUAAUACCGGAUAAGUCUUUACGGAGAAAGCUUUAUGCACCAUUGGAUGAGCCUGCACUUGAUUAGUUUGUUGGUGGGGUAAUGGCCUACCAAGACUGUGAUCAAUAGCUGAUUUGAGAGGAUGAUCAGCCACAUUGGGACUGAGACACGGCCCAAACUCCUACGGGAGGCAGCAGUGGGGAAUCUUGCACAAUGGAGGAAACUCUGAUGCAGCGAUGCCGCGUGAGUGAAGAAGGCCUUUGGGUUGUAAAGCUCUUUCGUCGGGGAAGAAAAUGACUGUACCCGAAUAAGAAGGUCCGGCUAACUUCGUGCCAGCAGCCGCGGUAAUACGAAGGGACCUAGCGUAGUUCGGAAUUACUGGGCUUAAAGAGUUCGUAGGUGGUUGAAAAAGUUAGUGGUGAAAUCCCAGAGCUUAACUCUGGAACUGCCAUUAAAACUUUUCAGCUAGAGUAUGAUAGAGGAAAGCAGAAUUUCUAGUGUAGAGGUGAAAUUCGUAGAUAUUAGAAAGAAUACCAAUUGCGAAGGCAGCUUUCUGGAUCAUUACUGACACUGAGGAACGAAAGCAUGGGUAGCGAAGAGGAUUAGAUACCCUCGUAGUCCAUGCCGUAAACGAUGUGUGUUAGACGUUGGAAAUUUAUUUUCAGUGUCGCAGGGAAACCGAUAAACACACCGCCUGGGGAGUACGACCGCAAGGUUAAAACUCAAAUGAAUUGACGGGGACCCGCACAAGUAGUGGAGCAUGUGGUUUAAUUCGAAGAUACGCGCAGAACCUUACCAACACUUGACAUGUUCGUCGCAACUCUAAGAGAUUAGAGUUUUCGGUUCGGCCGGACGAAACACAGGUGCUGCAUGGCUGUCGUCAGCUCGUGUCGUGAGAUGUUGGGUUAAGUCCCGCAACGAGCGCAACCCUCACUUUUAGUUGCCAUCAUUAAGUUGGGCACUCUAAAAGAACUGCCAGUGAUAAGCUGGAGGAAGGUGGGGAUGACGUCAAGUCCUCAUGGCCCUUACGUGUUGGGCUACACACGUGCUACAAUGGUAUCUACAACAGGAAGCAAGACGGCGACGUCAAGCAAAUCCCUAAAAGAUACCUCAGUUCGGAUUGCACUCUGCAACUCGAGUGCAUGAAGCUGGAAUUACUAGUAAUCGUGGAUCAGCGUGCCACGGUGAAUGCGUUCCCGGGUCUUGUACACACCGCC